GCAUCUGCGCAAGCCAGAAAUAGCACAGAGAGAGAAUGGGAAGAUGCAGUUCUCAGACACUCUUCAGGCAAAUGGUUGGAGUCAGUGCCGGGGAACCCAGAGCAAGUCAUGCUUCAAUUCAACGAAUAUUUAUUAGGUAGCCGCUUCGUGCCAGACACUGUGAUAAGUGGGGACAGUCCAGACAGGUAUGCAAGAGAGUUUCCAUCACUGAUACUAGUUAUGCAAACUGGUGGCACUAUGUAAAAAGGUUCCUUUUUCUUUUCCACAAUGACCUAAAGAAUGCUUCUCCUGGGUGCCAUGCAGGGAGGCUCGGAGCUGACUCCAGGAUCUGAACUGGAGGUGCUUUAAAACAACAACAGUCCAGCUCAUGGUUUUAAAGAACAAAAGUAAGUUUCUCAAGGAGUAUAUUGCUGACCUAAUACAGACAAUGGAAACUUUUAAAAACUGAAGCUUGAAUUACACAACAAAUGACAAAAAGAGACACAUAAAGAAAAAGCUGCUGUAAUCUCUAGCUACAUCUCCAAGGCUGAGAAUAUACCUGUGCAUUGAUAAGUGUUUAAUAUCCAGAACAUACUCUUUUUCUUUUAAAUUCCGUCUUAUCUUCAGAAAUGUUAGAUUUUAAAAUUAAUUAAUAAAUGGAUAUAUAUAUAUAUAUUUUUUUUCAUGUGUGAAUACUCUGAGCCUAGCACAGUCAUUAGUAUAGCCCUUGAUUGACACUUGUCUUUAAUCUAGUGAAUUCCUCUAAGGAGCUUAUGGUUUGGAAGGAUUACAAGUUACACAUACACACGAUCCCUGGAAAAUAACUACUAAGCCAUAGCUGAACUAUACAAAGACAUGGACUCCCUGCUAAAUAAAAGGAUGAUUUGCAAAGGAAAUGAAUGUUUAAAUGGUAACUAUAGAUUCUCUCCACUAAUAGUAUGACUAGGUUAUUUCUAUGUGCACAGAAUGCCCUCUGAUUUUG
This is a long non-coding RNA of Physeter macrocephalus (sperm whale), 961 nucleotides long. RefSeq lists it as uncharacterized. The transcript has 3 exons. Lineage: Eukaryota; Metazoa; Chordata; Mammalia; Artiodactyla; Physeteridae. The record is from RefSeq and is a predicted model, not a curated record.